This 469-nucleotide long non-coding RNA is filed under the name Mus caroli (Ryukyu mouse). RNAcentral's name for it is "lncRNA (MGP_CAROLIEiJ_G0006180.1)". Lineage: Eukaryota; Metazoa; Chordata; Mammalia; Rodentia; Muridae. The record is from RNAcentral.
GGCAUAGGGAGUGGAUGCUAUCAGGGUAUUUCAUACAGUUUCACAACUGUUAUCUUCCAGGUUGCCUGGGAUACCUGUGACCCUGUCGCUUCAAAGCAUCGGCCUCCUCAUUUGAACACAGGCACUGAGGGAUCUCAGAUAAAAUGAUAACCUGUUCCAUUUUUGCAUCGCAGCAACUCACCCGGGACAGGUACCAAUGAGCCAAGACCUGCCAUGAGCAAAGAAAACUCAGGAUGGCCAACCUGGAAGGAACCCUUCCUCCCAUGAGCUUCCAGAAUGGUGUGCAGCGUCCAGGACUUAGAAUCUACUCAGCAAACACUUGUGGAAUGUUGCCCCCCGUUUUCCAACACUUACACCAAGCUUUCUUUCUAUCAUCUCAAAAUAGGUUUGUUUUUCCUGGUCCUGUUCUGCACAUUAGAAUCCGUUUGGAGAAGCACUAAUUCCCUUAAAAUGUAUUUUUGGAACUAGA